UACGGGGGGAGCAAGCGUUGUUCGGAUUUACUGGGCGUAAAGGGCGCGUAGGCGGUCAGCACAAGUCAGUUGUGAAAUCUCCGGGCUUAACUCGGAAAGGUCAACUGAUACUGUGCGACUAGAGUGCAGAAGGGGCAACUGGAAUUCUCGGUGUAGCGGUGAAAUGCGUAGAUAUCGAGAGGAACACCUGCGGCGAAGGCGGGUUGCUGGGCUGACACUGACGCUGAGACCCGAAAGCCAGGGGAGCGAACCGG
Molecule: ribosomal RNA, 254 nt
Filed under: uncultured bacterium
Lineage: Bacteria
Description: partial 16S ribosomal RNA
Rfam family: Bacterial small subunit ribosomal RNA
Source: RNAcentral